Molecule: ribosomal RNA, 562 nt
Filed under: uncultured bacterium
Lineage: Bacteria
Description: bacterial SSU rRNA
Rfam family: Bacterial small subunit ribosomal RNA
Source: RNAcentral
UCGAGCGAAGCUUCUCAGUAGUUUACUACAGAAAAUGACUGAGCGGCGAACGGGUGAGUAACGCGUGAGCAACCUACCUUAGUUACUGGGAUAGCCCGAGGAAACUCGGAUUAAUACCGGAUAUUCUUAUUUAAUCACAUGAUUUUUUAAGGAAAGGUCAGCCGAACUAAGAUGGGCUCGCGUUCUAUCAGCUAGUUGGUAGGGUAAUGGCCUACCAAGGCUACGACGGAUAGCUGGUCUGAGAGGACGAUCAGCCACACUGGGACUGAGACACGGCCCAGACUCCUACGGGAGGCUGCAGCAGGGAAUAUUGCGCAAUGAGCGAAAGCUUGACGCAGCGACACCGCGUGUGGGAUGACGGAUCUAGGUUUGUAAACCACUUUCAGGAGGGAAGAAAAUGACGGUACCUCCACAAGAAGCCCCGGCCAACUACGUGCCAGCAGCCGCGGUAAUACGUAGGGGGCGAGCGUUGUCCGGAUUUAUUGGGCGUAAAGAGCUCGUAGGCGGUUCAACAAGUCGGUCGUGAAAGUUCAGGGCUCAACCCUGAAAUGUCGAUCGAUAC